This is a long non-coding RNA of Artibeus jamaicensis (Jamaican fruit-eating bat), 1042 nucleotides long. RefSeq lists it as uncharacterized. The transcript has 3 exons. NCBI's taxonomy places the organism in Eukaryota, Metazoa, Chordata, Mammalia, Chiroptera, Phyllostomidae. The record is from RefSeq and is a predicted model, not a curated record.
CCUCGGGCGAAGAAAGCUCCAAGUCUCCUGACAGCCAGAUGAGGAAGGAGAGAAACGGCGCAGGCUGCUGGGGCGCCAGCAAGAGCGUCCGUGUCCUUGGCAGCUCAGAAUAGCAUCCGCGGCUCUGGUGACUCAUCGCGCGCGGGCCUGCACACCCGUGCUCCGCGGCGGAGGACUGUUUCCCCCUCGCCUGUCGCCUACUGCAGAGUCUCACUUUUCUCAACGCGGAGUCCCCGUGUUGUCAUUGUCGACCCCCUAGUGUGCGUCCCAGCCCAGAGGUCACCGCAUGCUCAUGCCCCAGGACCUGCAGCGGAACCACUGGUUUAAAGGUCAUCCUGACGCCGUAUGACGCAGAAAGAUGGGUCACGCGCCACGGGCCGCCCUGAGAUGCUCCCGUCGGCUCCUCCUCUCGUCCACUCACAGCCCUUGCUGCCGGGCCCACUUUACUCGGGUAACAAGGCAUUUUUCGCCUCUCGCCGCUUUCCCAACACUGAUUUUCUUGGAUCCACUCGAGCUAAAUCAGACGCGUCCCGGUUCCUCUCACCGUGGGAGCUCCUUGCUUCCAGCUCCGCGUGUGUCUGUCGACAGCGUCCCUCCAGGACACGUUACAGGAUUGCAGCCACAGUCAGGUUCGGUGACUUGUCUGGAGCGACGUGGCACCGUCCAGAGAAACAAACGCUCGCCCACGUGACCCAGGAAGCAGGCAUCAGAGGAUCCUGGAGCGCUAUCUAAGAGGUAAAAGCAAGAUAAUCCCACAGGUGUGCAGGAAGCCAAAGGGCAGCACAAAGGACAAAGCAAGAAGCCCGGUUUUAUCCGGUGCUGCUGACAUGCACGCUCCCCCCCCCACGUGCUGACCAGGCUGCAGGGCCCAGAACAGCAACACUGGUGUUAACAUCGCAACCACAGCCACGCCUAGUGCAACAGUGUAUUUUUUGUGUGUUCACAUCAGUGCCUCUAUACAGAGAAGUUCUGGAAGCAAUACAUACAAUCAGCUGAUAGCAAUAACCAAGAGGGGCCAUUCCUAUAUCUGUGCUACCUUUUA